Equus caballus (horse) is the source of this 52-nucleotide non-coding RNA. The record is from Rfam. Lineage: Eukaryota; Metazoa; Chordata; Mammalia; Perissodactyla; Equidae.
UUUUUAGUGUAAGUAUGUCCCAUGCAAUAUUUGGGACAUACUUAUACUAAUU